This 274-nucleotide ribosomal RNA is filed under the name uncultured bacterium. Its description in RNAcentral is "partial 16S ribosomal RNA". It matches the Rfam family "Bacterial small subunit ribosomal RNA", at positions 523 to 796 of the family's 1533-position model. The record is from RNAcentral.
CUACGGAGGGUGCAAGCGUUACUCGGAAUCACAGGGCGUAAAGCGCGCGCAGGCGGGCUGAUAAGUUGGAUGUGAAAGCCUACGGCUCAACCGUAGAACUGCAUCCAAAACUGUCAGUCUAGAGUCUGGGAGGGGAAGAUGGAAUUAGUUGUGUAGGGGUAAAAUCCGUAGAGAUAACUAGGAAUACCAAAAGCGAAGGCGAUCUUCUGGAACAGUACUGACGCUGAGGCGCGAAAGCGUGGGGAGCAAACAGGAUUAGAUACCCUAGUAGUCC